Molecule: transfer RNA, 72 nt
Filed under: Capra hircus (goat)
Lineage: Eukaryota; Metazoa; Chordata; Mammalia; Artiodactyla; Bovidae
Also listed under: 1 other name
Rfam family: tRNA
About the family: Transfer RNA (tRNA) molecules are approximately 80 nucleotides in length. Their secondary structure includes four short double-helical elements and three loops (D, anti-codon, and T loops). Further hydrogen bonds mediate the characteristic L-shaped molecular structure. tRNAs have two regions of fundamental functional importance: the anti-codon, which is responsible for specific mRNA codon recognition, and the 3' end, to which the tRNAs corresponding amino acid is attached (by aminoacyl-tRNA synthetases). tRNAs cope with the degeneracy of the genetic code in two manners: having more than one tRNA (with a specific anti-codon) for a particular amino acid; and 'wobble' base-pairing, i.e. permitting non-standard base-pairing at the 3rd anti-codon position.
Source: Rfam by way of RNAcentral
UCCCUGGUGGCUCAGAGGUUAAAGCGUCUGCCUGCAAGGCGGGAGACCUGGGUUCGAUCCCUGGGUUGGGAA